This 497-nucleotide ribosomal RNA is filed under the name uncultured bacterium. RNAcentral describes it as "partial 16S ribosomal RNA". It matches the Rfam family "Bacterial small subunit ribosomal RNA", at positions 28 to 507 of the family's 1533-position model. The record is from RNAcentral.
GAUGAACGCUGGCGGCGUGCCUAAUACAUGCAAGUCGAGCGAACAGACGAGGAGCUUGCUCCUUUGACGUUAGCGGCGGACGGGUGAGUAACACGUGGGUAACCUACCUAUAAGACUGGGAUAACUUCGGGAAACCGGAGCUAAUACCGGAUCAUAUUUCGAACCGCAUGGUUCGAUAGUGAAAGAUGGCUUUGCUAUCACUUAUAGAUGGACCUGCGCCGUAUUAGCUAGUUGGUAAGGUAACGGCUUACCAAGGCAACGAUACGUAGCCGACCUGAGAGGGUGAUCGGCCACACUGGAACUGAGACCCGGUCCAGACUCCUACGGGAGGCAGCAGUAGGGAAUCUUCCGCAAUGGGCGAAAGCCUGACGGAGCAACGCCGCGUGAGUGAUGAAGGUCUUCGGAUCGUAAAACUCUGUUAUUAGGGAAGAACAAACGUGUAAGUAACUGUGCACGUCUUGACGGUACCUAAUCAGAAAGCCACGGCUAACUACGUG